CUCUGAUGGGAUAUGGGUAUAACUGUCCCUCUGACCUGAGACCGCCAUGGUGACUGGCAAGCAACUCACUGCACUUAGACACUAGACUACCUGAAUUUUUAAUUCAGUGAUGGAAGGCUGCUGGGUGUAGUCAAGUACUUGACUUGUCGGUGCGUGUGUCAAGAUGGAAUUGACCACUCCAGUUCAGGAGCUGUGUACAGUCAUGUUUUAAUUUAGUAAAAUUUUGGCCAGAGUA
This 235-nucleotide long non-coding RNA is filed under the name Elaeis guineensis (African oil palm). Its description in RNAcentral is "long non-coding RNA (EGUI_LNC067070)". The record is from RNAcentral. Lineage: Eukaryota; Viridiplantae; Streptophyta; Magnoliopsida; Arecales; Arecaceae.